AGUGAACGCUGGCGGUAGGCCUAACACAUGCAAGUCGAACGGCAGCACAGUAAGAGCUUGCUCUUACGGGUGGCGAGUGGCGGACUGGUGAGGAAUACAUCGGAAUCUACUUUUUCGUGGGGGAUAACGUAGGGAAACUUACGCUAAUACCGCAUACGACAUACGGGUGAAAGCAGGGGAUCUUCGGACCUUGCGCGAUUGAAUGAGCCGAUGUCGGAUUAGCUAGUUGGCGGGGUAAAGGCCCACCAAGGCGACGAUCCGUAGCUGGUCUGAGAGGAUGAUCAGCCACACUGGAACUGAGACACGGUCCAGACUCCUACGGGAGGCAGCAGUGGGGAAUAUUGGACAAUGGGCGCAAGCCUGAUCCAGCAAUACCGCGUGGGUGAAGAAGGCCUUCGGGUUGUAAAGCCCUUUUGUUGGGAAAGAAAAGCAGCAGGUUAAUACCCCGCCGUUCUGACGGUACCCAAAGAAUAAGCACCGGCUAACUUCGUG
Molecule: ribosomal RNA, 492 nt
Filed under: uncultured bacterium
Lineage: Bacteria
Description: partial 16S ribosomal RNA
Rfam family: Bacterial small subunit ribosomal RNA
Source: RNAcentral